ACAGGAGAUUUGCAAGCUUGUGAAAUCCACAUUGAUACCAUUGGGCUGCAGGGUUCCCAAGCAGAAUAUGAGUUGCUGUUCCUGCAACCUUCGGGUGGCGUCAUAAUGGCACUGCAGGAGGCCCAGGUUGGACAUGUCCUCUCGGGAAUGGGAGGGGGAGUUGAAAUGGUUCGUGACUGGGAAGUGCAGUUGUUGAUUGCAAACUGAGCGUAGGUGUUCUGAAAAGCGGUCCCCAAGCCUCUGCAUCGUUUCCCCAAUGUAGAGGAAGCCACAACGGGGACAGCGGAUGUUUUGGAUAUUUCUUAAGCAUUGAUUUUCAUUCAGAGUUGGUUGGAUUUUGCUGAAGCAAUAGACAUAACUCACUAUGACGUAGACAAUGUCAGAGUUAAUGUUUCGCGUCCUGUGACCCUUCCUCAGAUCCCACUCUUCACUGAUGCUGCCAGACCUGCUGAGCUUUUGCAGCAACUUCUGCUUUUGUUGCUGAUUUACAGUGCCCACAGUUUUUUUUGUUUUUUACGACACAGACAAAACUUGAUCUCUGCAGGAAGCAUGAUGCUGCAUUCUCCAACUUCCCUGCCUUUUUGUAAUAUGAUAUUGUCUUUUUAGGACAGAAGUGGCUUUUUUUUGUUUGUUUUAACUUCCGCACAUACUUUCUAUGCAGGUUAAAAGUCUACACCUUUUCAGUUCUCUGCUGCAUAAUGAAGACUUGGAACAAUUUUUUUAUGUAAAGUAGAAAAUCAGUGUGGUUUGUUUUCCAAAAUGUGAUGUCAGCUUUCCUGGAGCAAGUCUGUUUUCCUUCGGAUGAGACGACUUUCAGACAUACUCCCUUUAUUAUGAGAUUUAAUUACGGUAAAAUGAGGAGGAUUUUUAUUCACUGAGACACACAUGACUAUAUGUUUAAAGCAUUGGAAAAUGCGUUCUGUUCGGACUGUCAUGUUAUCUGGUGUUUGUACCAGGCUUUCCGAUUAAAUGCAAGUGAUUAAGGAUGCUAA
This is a long non-coding RNA of Stegostoma tigrinum, 992 nucleotides long. RefSeq lists it as uncharacterized. The record is from RefSeq and is a predicted model, not a curated record. NCBI's taxonomy places the organism in Eukaryota, Metazoa, Chordata, Chondrichthyes, Orectolobiformes, Stegostomatidae. The transcript is spliced from 2 exons.